Molecule: transfer RNA, 86 nt
Filed under: Nitrospira sp.
Lineage: Bacteria; Pseudomonadati; Nitrospirota; Nitrospiria; Nitrospirales; Nitrospiraceae
Description: tRNA-Leu
Rfam family: tRNA
About the family: Transfer RNA (tRNA) molecules are approximately 80 nucleotides in length. Their secondary structure includes four short double-helical elements and three loops (D, anti-codon, and T loops).
Source: RNAcentral
GCCGAAGUGGCGGAAUGGCAGACGCGCUAGAUUCAGGGUCUAGUGUCCCUUGGGGCGUGCGGGUUCAACUCCCGCCUUCGGCACCA